UCGGCAUGUCUAGUAUAGCAAUUAUACCGUGAAACUGCGAAUGGCUCAUUAAAUCAGUUAUCGUUUAUUUGAUAGUACCUUACUACUUGGAUAACCGUGGUAAUUCUAGAGCUAAUACAUGCUGAAAACCCCAACUUCGGGAGGGGUGUAUUUAUUAGAUAAAAAACCAACGCCCUUCGGGGCUUCUUGGUGAUUCAUGAUAACUUCACGGAUCGCAUGGCCUUGCGCCGGCGACGGUUCAUUCAAAUUUCUGCCCUAUCAACUUUCGAUGGUAAGGUAUUGGCUUACCAUGGUUUCAACGGGUAACGGGGAAUUAGGGUUCGAUUCCGGAGAGGGAGCCUGAGAAACGGCUACCACAUCCAAGGAAGGCAGCAGGCGCGCAAAUUACCCAAUCCCGACACGGGGAGGUAGUGACAAUAAAUACUGAUACAGGGCUCUUUUGGGUCUUGUAAUUGGAAUGAGUACAAUUUAAACCUCUUAACGAGGAACAAUUGGAGGGCAAGUCUGGUGCCAGCAGCCGCGGUAAUUCCAGCUCCAAUAGCGUAUAUUAAAGUUGUUGCAGUUAAAAAGCUCGUAGUUGAAACUUGGGCCUGGCUGGCAGGUCCGCCUCACCGCGUGUACUUGUCCGGCCGGGCCUUUCCUUCUGGAGAACCUCAUGCCCUUCACUGGGUGUGUUGGGGAACCAGGACUUUUACUUUGAAAAAAUUAGAGUGUUCAAAGCAGGCCUUUGCUCGAAUACGUUAGCAUGGAAUAAUAGAAUAGGACGUGCGGUCCUAUUUUGUUGGUUUCUAGGACCGCCGUAAUGAUUAAUAGGGACAGUCGGGGGCAUCAGUAUUCAAUUGUCAGAGGUGAAAUUCUUGGAUUUAUUGAAGACUAACUACUGCGAAAGCAUUUGCCAAGGAUGUUUUCAUUAAUCAGUGAACGAAAGUUAGGGGAUCGAAGACGAUCAGAUACCGUCGUAGUCUUAACCGUAAACUAUGCCGACUAGGGAUCGGGCGAUGUUCUUUUUCUGACUCGCUCGGCACCUUACGAGAAAUCAAAGUUUUUGGGUCUGGGGGAGUACGGCACGCU
RNAcentral lists this ribosomal RNA (1071 nucleotides) under Phoma sp. FJ-2. Its description in RNAcentral is "SSU rRNA". It matches the Rfam family "Eukaryotic small subunit ribosomal RNA", at positions 52 to 1138 of the family's 1831-position model. The record is from RNAcentral. Lineage: Eukaryota; Fungi; Ascomycota; Dothideomycetes; Pleosporales; Didymellaceae.